RNAcentral lists this long non-coding RNA (264 nucleotides) under Nicotiana benthamiana. Its description in RNAcentral is "long non-coding RNA (NBEN_LNC002091)". The record is from RNAcentral. Lineage: Eukaryota; Viridiplantae; Streptophyta; Magnoliopsida; Solanales; Solanaceae.
GCUAAGAUUGCUAAACGAUGGAAAAUUCAAUGCAACUAUGCUAAGGCUGUCAAUGGUAGGAUUUGGUUGCUUUGGAAGCCUCAUAUUCAAGUCCUUAUUUCUAAUGUGACUGAUCAGUUAAUACAAUGUAUGUUAGAAGAUGUUCAAGGCAAAGUCAGAACUCAUUUGAGUGUAGUCUAUGCUCAUAAUACUGCAGGCAAUAGGGAACAGUUGUGGUGUGAUUUGCAGGCAGUCAACAUUCCCAGUCAGGAUCCUUGGGUACUU